UGAGCCCCACAUCAAGUCCCCAUGCCUGGGGACCUGGCACUGGGAGAAAGACCCCCCAGAGCAUCUGGCAUUGAAGGCAGAAAGAAAAAACCCUCUCUCUCUCUCACACACACGCACACACAUCACAUAAUCUCUUGAGGAGCAGGAAUAUAUGUGGACAUCAAUUGAAAUAUUAAACUAAACAUGUUCCAGGACUUGAUAGAGCAAUAAAGUUCAGUCUCUUUACUUAGGACAACAUCUGGCAUGAUGUAGUUGCUCAAACAAGUAUGUUGACACCCUUGGGGACAGGAACCAGAUGAAAUGUUUUUCAUCCCGGUCGUCAUUUGCUGGGUGCUCUGGAGAUCAUCAGUGUCCUCUGCAGGUAGUCCCCAGCCAGGACGUGGCGUGGUGAAGGGCUGCAGGAGUGGACCCCCAGGCCCCCGAGCCAUCUGCCUGUCCCGGCACGGGCUGUGGGCCUGGUGGGUCCAGCAGCAUCACAGAGAGUCCUGCUCUGGCCUGCAGAGUAUAAUCCUGUUUAAAGAACCACCACAGGAAGCCCAAUUCUGACUUAACCAGAAAACUGAACACAGAGAGCAGACCACAGUCCUACGGCUCUUAGGAAGAGACGUAUGCUGUCCAAGAUUAAGGUAUUUGCUCUUGGACCCCUAUGGGUUAUUUAUGGCUCCUGGAACAAACUGUCACACACUUAGUGAGUUAAGUUAACACACAUGGAUUGUCUUCAUUUCUGGAGGUCAGAAGUCCAGAAUGGAUCUCAUGGGGUUAAGAUCAAGGGUGGGUAGGGCUGUGUUCCUGGUGGAGGCUGGAGAGAAGAAGUGUCUGUGUUCUUGCCUUUUCCAGCUUCUAGAAGCUGUCCAUGCUUAUUGGCUUGUGACCUCUUCCUCCCGUCUUUAAACUCACCCGUGGCCAGCAGGGUCUUCAUCGCAUCUCAUCACUCUGCUACUGACUCUUCUGCCUCCCUCUUCUAUAUCUAAGGGCCAUUAGGACCACGUGGGGCCUCCUUGGGUAAUUCAGGAAAAUCUCCCCAUCUCAAGGCCGGCUCAUUAGCAACCUUAACUUCCCUCUGCCAUGUAACGGAACAUGGAAGAGAUUCACAGGUUUCAGGGAUUGGAGUUGUACAUAUUUGAGCAGGAAGUGGGGGAGAUUAUGUGCUCUGACACAUCCUGUGAAAUAAGCUUCCCACUGCUCCAGAGCUGCACUGUCCAAUAUGGGAGCCACCAGCAGCAGUGACCACUGAAUCCUAGAAAUGGGACUAGUCCAUACUGACAUGUCCUGUUAAUACAAAAUACACCCUGGAUUUUGGAGACUUCGGGUUACAUAAUGUGGAGUUCCCAUUGUGGAGCAGCAGAAAUGAACCUCACUAGUAUCCAUGAGGAUGUGGGUUUGAGCCUGCAUUGCUGUGGCGUAGGCUGGCAGCUAUAGCUCUGAUUUGACCUCUAGCUUGGGAACUUCCAUAGGCCUCGGGUGAGUCCCUAAAAAUCAAAAGACAUAAGGAAUGUGUGUAUCUUAAUGAUUUUUGAAAAUCUGGUUACAAAUUUACUGGAAAUGA
RNAcentral lists this long non-coding RNA (1546 nucleotides) under Sus scrofa (pig). Its description in RNAcentral is "lncRNA (ENSSSCG00060054492.1)". The record is from RNAcentral. Lineage: Eukaryota; Metazoa; Chordata; Mammalia; Artiodactyla; Suidae.